Molecule: transfer RNA, 85 nt
Filed under: Deltaproteobacteria bacterium
Lineage: Bacteria; Pseudomonadati; Myxococcota; Myxococcia
Description: tRNA-Leu
Rfam family: tRNA
About the family: Transfer RNA (tRNA) molecules are approximately 80 nucleotides in length.
Source: RNAcentral
GCCCGGAUGGUGAAAUCGGUAGACACAGGAGACUUAAAAUCUCCUUCCCUCCACGGGAGUGCGGGUUCGACCCCCGCUCCGGGCA